AGAGUUUGAUCCUGGCUCAGGAUGAACGCUAGCGGCAGGCUUAACACAUGCAAGUCGAGGGGCAGCGGGUGUAGCAAUACAUGCCGGCGACCGGCGAAAGGGUGAGUAACGCGUGAGCAACAUGCCCGUAUGUGGGGGAUAGUCGAUGGAAACGUCGCGUAAUACCCCGUAAUAUAUGGAACUGCAUGGUUCUAUAUUGAAAGAUUGAUUGCAUACGGAUUGGCUCGCGUACCAUUAGGUAGACGGCGGGGUAACGGCCCACCGUGCCGACGAUGGUUAGGGGUUCUGAGAGGAAGGUCCCCCACAUUGGAACUGAGACACGGUCCAGACUCCUACGGGAGGCAGCAGUGAGGAAUAUUGGACAAUGGCCGGAAGGCUGAUCCAGCCAUGCCGCGUGCGGGAGGACGGCCCUAUGGGUUGUAAACCGCUUUUGCAUGGGAGCAAUAAGGGUCACGUGUGGCCCGAUGAGAGUACCAUACGAAUAAGCAUCGGCUAACUCCGUGCCAGCAGCCGCGGUAAUACGGAGGAUGCAAGCGUUAUCCGGAUUUAUUGGGUUUAAAGGGUGCGUAGGCGGCUUGGUAAGCGGGAGGUGAAAUGCCGGCGCUCAACGUCGGAAGUGCCUCCCGAACUGUCGGGCUUGAAUGGUUGUGCCGUGGGAGGAAUGAGUGGUGUAGCGGUGAAAUGCUUAGAGAUCACUCAGAACACCGAUUGCGAAGGCAUCUCACGAACGACUGAUUGACGCUGAGGCACGAAAGCGUGGGGAUCAAACAGGAUUAGAUACCCUGGUAGUCCACGCAGUAAACGAUGAUGGCUAACCGCUGGGGCAGACGCUUCAGUGGCCAAGGGAAAAGCGAUAAGCCAUCCACCUGGGGAGUACGACCGCAAGGUUGAAACUCAAAGGAAUUGACGGGGGCCCGCACAAGCGGAGGAACAUGUGGUUUAAUUCGAUGAUACGCGAGGAACCUUACCCGGGCUCGAACGGCAGAGGAACAAUCCAGAGAUGGAGCGGCCCUUCGGGGCUUCUGUCGAGGUGCUGCAUGGUUGUCGUCAGCUCGUGCCGUGAGGUGUCGGCUCAAGUGCCAUAACGAGCGCAACCCUUGCCGUCAGUUACCAUCAAGUAGUGCUGGGCACUCUGGCGACACUGCCACCGUAAGGUGUGAGGAAGGUGGGGAUGACGUCAAAUCAGCACGGCCCUUACGUCCGGGGCUACACACGUGUUACAAUGGCGCGUACAGAGGGCAGGCGGCCGGCAACGUCCGUCGAAUCCCGAAAUCGCGCCGUAGUUCGGAUUGGGGUCUGCAACCCGACCCCAUGAAGCUGGAUUCGCUAGUAAUCGCGCAUCAGCCAUGGCGCGGUGAAUACAAAGCCGGGCCUUGCACACACCGCCCGUCA
Molecule: ribosomal RNA, 1392 nt
Filed under: uncultured bacterium
Lineage: Bacteria
Description: 16S ribosomal RNA
Rfam family: Bacterial small subunit ribosomal RNA
Source: RNAcentral